GCCGCCGUAGCUCAACGGCAGAGCACCGCACUUGUAAUGCGGGGGUUACCGGUUCAAGUCCGGUCGGCGGCUCCA
This 75-nucleotide transfer RNA is filed under the name Pseudomonadota bacterium. RNAcentral describes it as "tRNA-Thr". It matches the Rfam family "tRNA". Rfam says of the family: Transfer RNA (tRNA) molecules are approximately 80 nucleotides in length. Their secondary structure includes four short double-helical elements and three loops (D, anti-codon, and T loops). RNAcentral also lists the same sequence under 2 other names. Lineage: Bacteria; Pseudomonadati; Pseudomonadota. The record is from RNAcentral.